AUACGGAGGGGGUUAGCGUUGUUCGGAAUUACUGGGCGUAAAGCGCACGUAGGCGGACUGGAAAGUUGGGGGUGAAAUCCCGGGGCUCAACCCCGGAACUGCCUCCAAAACUUCCAAUCUAGAGAUCGAGAGAGGUGAGUGGAAUUCCAAGUGUAGAGGUGAAAUUCGUAGAUAUUUGGAGGAACACCAGUGGCGAAGGCGGCUCACUGGCUCGAUACUGACGCUGAGGCGCGAAAGCGUGGGGAGCAAACAGGAUUAGAUACCCUAGUAGUCC
Molecule: ribosomal RNA, 274 nt
Filed under: uncultured bacterium
Lineage: Bacteria
Description: partial 16S ribosomal RNA
Rfam family: Bacterial small subunit ribosomal RNA
Source: RNAcentral